Molecule: ribosomal RNA, 267 nt
Filed under: uncultured beta proteobacterium UMTRA-619
Lineage: Bacteria; Pseudomonadati; Pseudomonadota; Betaproteobacteria
Also listed under: 1 other name
Description: partial 16S ribosomal RNA
Rfam family: Bacterial small subunit ribosomal RNA
Source: RNAcentral
GCCGAUGUCUGAUUAGCUAGUUGGUGGGGUAAAGGCCUACCAAGGCGACGAUCAGUAGUUGGUCUGAGAGGACGACCAGCCACACUGGGACUGAGACACGGCCCAGACUCCUACGGGAGGCAGCAGUGGGGAAUUUUGGACAAUGGGCGCAAGCCUGAUCCAGCAAUGCCGCGUGAGUGAAGAAGGCCUUCGGGUUGUAAAGCUCUUUCAGUCGAGAAGAAAAGGCUGCAGUGAAUAACUGUAGUUUAUGACGGUAUCGACAGAAGA